GUUACGAGGGGUUGUGCCCCAUGCAGAACACGUACGCGCUCACACAUACAGGAAGAAACAACACUCACCACGCGGACAAGUUUAAAUUCACAGAAACGCACACACUGGCUGGCCGACGAAAAAAUGGCCGACAUCGGCACCCACGAUGACGUCGCGCUCGACAAAACGUUGCGGCCUAGUCAACGACAUAGCAAUGCCGAUGGGGACGGCAGCAACAGCUCGGUGCUCUCUGACAUGCACCUGUCUGACGGCUUCCCUCACGGCGACGCAGAGGGGGAGGAUGAGAUGGACAUCCGCGCCUCCCACGUGCACAUGGAGGCGCUCUACGUCGACUUGCCGGCGAAGCAGCUGCAGGUCAUCAUGCAUAGUGCCCUCCGAGCCUACAACACACACGUUUUCAUCCCGACGCGCACCACCUGGCGUAAGGAGGAAGGCGCGCGCCGCGAGCUGGAGCGGGACGUCGAGCGAACGGCACUGAGCCGUAUUGCGGAAUACAUCAAGAACGACAUCACCGCCAAGCUAGGUGGUUGCUGGCACGUCAUCUAUGGCCACGAUUUCGCCACUUUUGUGACGCACAAACGCUUAUGCUUUUGCCACUUUCAAAUAGAGGGUGCGGACGUGGUUGUGUGGCGUCAUGGAGGGUAGACGCAACGCGCGGGAAGUGGCACCACCUCGUUGCCUUCUCCUUUCCCCCGCCUCUCCUCCUCGGGAAGGUCUUCCUGUUCCUGGUGCCACUCUCCUCCGUGCUGUGCGCCUGGCUCUUGUUUCAGGGUUGGUGCCUCCAUCUUUCGUUUGGUGUGGUUGUGGUUGCUUGCUGAGGCCACGCGGUGAAGAAUGGGUGUGACGUGCUGACGCACGACAGAUGUAAGCUCCCUCCCCAAGAAAUACAAGAACAGACGACAGCGAAAGCAGCAGCAUCGAUGAAAAGCUGCACAGUGUCCACACGUGUGCGUCCAUUGCCCCGACACACACCAAAGAAAACAGAGGUGCCAAGCAAGACCGUGUUUUUGCUUUCUCCGCUGCGUUAGAGGGGUAGAGGAGGGGGGGGGGAGAGGAUGGAAAGGCAGUAAGGUGGCAAAAGACAGAGAGAGCGUCAAUGCAGCUGACAGGCAUGUCGCUCUCGUUUCUUCUUGCAGCAGCACACCACCAAGGCUCGCAUCAACCCAUGUGCUCCCUUCCUUUUUGUCUGUCCGUUCUCGAGGCCCACCGCACGUACGAUUAUGCGCUUGGGUGUGAUCUUGCGCGUGUGCGGGGGGGAGCGUAUUGUGCUUUUCGCGCUCUUUCUGCUUCCCUCCUCCCUCGCCUUGCAUGUAUGACCGUGUCUGCGUCGACACUUCCACCACCACGUUCUUCUCCUCUGCCCCCCCCCUCUGACCCUCACACCUAUGCUUUCAUGUGUGCGCCGAAUAAG
RNAcentral lists this unclassified non-coding RNA (1411 nucleotides) under Leishmania donovani. RNAcentral's name for it is "gene:LdHU3.35.4160(CDS-product:Dynein_light_chain _type_1_putative)". Lineage: Eukaryota; Euglenozoa; Kinetoplastea; Trypanosomatida; Trypanosomatidae. The record is from RNAcentral.